UGGACUGUAACUGACGCUGAGGCACGAAAGCGUGGGGAGCAAACAGGAUUAGAUACCUGGUAGUCCACGCUGUAAACGAUGGAUACUAGGUGUAGGGGUUUAAAGACUUCUGUGCCGGAGUUAACGCAAUAAGUAUCCCGCCUGGGGAGUACGGCCGCAAGGCUGAAACUCAAAGGAAUUGACGGGGGCCCGCACAAGCAGCGGAGCAUGUGGUUUAAUUCGAAGCAACGCGAAGAACCUUACCAAGGCUUGACAUCCCACUGAAGUAUUUAGAGAUAAGUACGGACUCUUCGGAGUACAGAGGAGACAGGUGGUGCAUGGUUGUCGUCAGCUCGUGUCGUGAGAUGUUGGGUUAAGUCCCGCAACGAGCGCAACCCUUAUCUUUAGUUGCCAGCACUUAGGGUGGGCACUCUAGAGAGACUGCCGGGGAUAACUCGGAGGAAGGUGGGGAUGACGUCAAAUCAUCAUGCCCCUUAUGUCUUGGGCUACACACGUGCUACAAUGGUCUGAAACAGAGGGAAGCGAAGGCGCAAGCUGGAGCAAAUCCCACAAACCAGGCCACAGUUCGGAUUGUGGGCUGCAACCCGCCCACAUGAAGCCGGAGUUGCUAGUAAUCGCGAAUCAGCAUGUCGCGGUGAAUGCGUUCCCGGGCCUUGUACACACCGCCCGUCACACCAUGGAAGUUGGGAGCACCCGAAGCCGGUGACCUAACCGUAAGGGAGGAGCCGUCGAAGGUGAGCUUAAUGACUGGGGUGAAGUCGAACAAGGUAACCA
Molecule: ribosomal RNA, 774 nt
Filed under: uncultured bacterium
Lineage: Bacteria
Description: bacterial SSU rRNA
Rfam family: Bacterial small subunit ribosomal RNA
Source: RNAcentral